CCGGCGCGCGCUGUUUCCGGAAGUCGCCGCCGCGGUCUCCGCCGCUUCUGCCUUCGCUGCUGCUGCGGUCCCAGCGGAACUUUUCGUGUAGGACGGCCGAGGCGGGCCCAGGCGGGGCCGGGGUUCCGGCCACUCUGCAGAAUGGAGAUAAUCAGGAGCAAUUUUAAGAGUAAUCUUCAAAAAGUGUACCAGGCCAUAGAGGAGGCCGACUUCUUCGCCAUCGAUGGGGAGUUUUCAGGAAUCAGUGAUGGACCUUCAGUCACUGCAUUAACAAAUGGUUUUGACACUCCAGAAGAAAGGUAUCAGAAGCUUAAAAAACAUUCCAUGGACUUUUUGCUGUUUCAGUUUGGCCUUUGCACUUUUAAGUAUGACUACACAGAUUCAAAGUAUAUAACGAAGUCAUUUAACUUCUAUGUUUUCCCGAAACCCUUCAAUAGAUCCUCGCCAGAUGUCAAGUUUGUUUGUCAGAGCUCAAGCAUUGACUUUCUAGCAAGCCAAGGAUUUGAUUUUAAUAAAGUUUUUCGCAAUGGAAUUCCCUAUUUAAAUCAGGAAGAAGAAAGACAGUUAAGGGAGCAGUAUGAUGAAAAACGCCUACAGUCCAAUGGUGCAGGAACUCUGUCUUACGUAUCUCCCAACGCGUCAAAAUGUCCUGUGACGAUUCCUGAGGAUCAGAAGAAGUUUAUUGACCAAGUGGUAGAGAAAAUUGAAGAUUUAUUACAAAGUGAAGAAAACAAGAACUUGGAUUUAGAGCCAUGUACUGGGUUCCAAAGAAAACUAAUUUAUCAGACUUUGAGCUGGAAGUAUCCCAAAGGCAUUCACGUUGAGACUUUAGAAACUGAAAAGAAGGAGCGAUACAUCGUCAUCAGCAAAGUAGAUGAAGAGGAACGUAAAAGGAGGGAGCAGCAGAAACACGCUAAAGAACAGGAAGAACUGAAUGACGCUGUGGGAUUUUCUAGAGUUAUUCAUGCCAUUGCCAAUUCGGGAAAACUCGUCAUUGGACACAAUAUGCUCUUGGAUGUCAUGCACACGGUUCAUCAAUUCUACUGCCCUCUGCCUGCGGACUUAAAUGAGUUUAAGGAGAUGACAACAUGUGUUUUCCCCAGACUCUUGGAUACAAAAUUGAUGGCCAGCACACAACCUUUUAAGGAUAUCAUUAACAACACAUCUCUUGCAGAACUGGAAAAGCGGUUAAAAGAGACACCUUUCAACCCUCCUAAAGUUGAAAGCGCAGAAGGUUUUCCAAGUUACGACACAGCUACUGAGCAACUCCACGAGGCAGGCUAUGACGCUUAUAUCACAGGGCUGUGCUUCCUCUCCAUGGCGAACUACCUAGGUUCUUUUCUUAGCCCUCCAAAAAUUCACGUGUCUGCCAGAUCAAAACUCAUUGAACCUUUUUUUAACAAGUUAUUUCUUAUGAGAGUCAUGGAUAUCCCCUAUCUCAACUUGGAAGGACCAGACUUGCAACCAAAACGCGAUCAUGUUCUCCAUGUGACAUUCCCCAAAGAAUGGAAAACCAGCGACCUUUACCAGCUUUUUAGUGCCUUUGGUAACAUUCAGAUAUCCUGGAUUGAUGACACAUCAGCGUUUGUCUCUCUCAGCCAGCCCGAACAAGUACAGAUUGCCGUCAAUACCAGCAAAUACGCGGAAAGCUAUCGGAUCCAGACCUAUGCUGACUAUGUGGGAAAAAAACACGAGGAGAAGCAGAUCAAGAGAAAGUGGACAGAAGAUAGUUGGAAGGAGGUUGAGAGAAAGCGGUUAAACACUCAGUGCAUAUCCUAUGCUCUGCAGAAUCACUAUCACCACGCCAAUAGUCUUACCUCGACCAGCACGGUAGGAAAGAGAAAUCUGAGCCCCAGCCCAGCAGAAGCUGACUUGGAGACCAGAAUAUCAGGGGAGAUUUCUGACACUGAGCUGGAGCAGACAGAGUCCUGUGCAGAAUCCCUCUCCGAGGGAAGGAAAAAGGCCAAGAAAUUAAAAAGGAUGAAGAAGGAGCUUUCGCCAGCAGUCCCACUAAAAGAGAAAAACAUCUUGACAGCUUUUAAUUGAACCAGAGACCUGGAGAUAAUUGGGCUUUCUGGAGCAGCAUUCACCGAGUGAGACCUUCCAGCAGCGCAAAGCUGGGAGUUUAACGGGUCAUUCUUAGCUGCUUUGUGGAGGCCUCCCGGGUAGCCCUGCCAAGCUCUUCGAGGUUCCCGACACGUGGUAACCGAGACCCGAAGGAAAACAAAUCGCUGGUGCCGUGGCUGAGGAAGACCCAGCUGGCACAUUCAGAAGCCAUACUGUAUUUAAUUUCAUGAAAUGUGGUAUGGGAGGGGUUUGAAGCCAAGUCUGUGUCCUGGCAAAAACCCAGUUUCUUUUAUUUGUGUGGCUGUGUUUCUUUUCUUCCUUUUUAAUGUAAACUGUCUGCUGACACUCAGCACGGUUGUAGGCCGUCUUGAAUGUGCACAUUAUUAACCAGUUGAUGAUUUGUUGCUCAUGUGAAACCCCUUUUCCAGUGUCAUGAAUUUUAGCGCGUUUAAGAACCUACCUGGUGGGGAUCGUCGGCUGUGAAAUAAGCGAAGAGCCGACAUUCUUGGGCGCCGGGAUCGUGAGUUUUGGGGUUGAAGUCUUUACUGCUUCGAGAGGUUUCUUUUUGUGUUCUCGUGCGCAGAUUUGGGGGCCUCCGCAGCGCGCGGUUACAGUCUCCCCCGUGGAGAGACCCCUCGCGUCUGCCCACUUCCCGCCAUAGCUGCCUGAAAAUACUAAGCACUCCAGCUUGUUUUUCCAGUAGGAAAAUGUCUAACGCCGUCCACCCAUAAAGACGCUUACUAUAUGCCUUGGCCUUUGGGGCAUUUUUAUUUAGAGUCCUUCUUCCUAACUUGUGAGAUUCUCAAGGCGAACUGGACGAGUACAAAAAGUUCACUUCUGUUUUUACACGUAGUGCUGUGUUCCCUUUUCCGUACCUUAGCCUCCUUGCCGUCUCUGUUCGGGAGUGUGUCCGGGGGUAAGGUGGCAUGUGUGUGUACACGUGCGUGUGUGUGUGCGUGUGUGUGUGAAAUCACAGAUUACAACGUGUACCAGCCCUCUCUCUGUUGAAACAGAUCACAGCAGUGACAGGAUUUCAUGGAUCUACUUCCGUAGGUCUGUUUCAUGUAGAUCAUUGUUAGAUAUUUAACAUUUUUUUUGUAUCAUGGAAAAUAAAAAUGAAAAAUGUAUUUCCAAGAGAUGAAAAUUAAAGAAAUUUUCCUAGGA
Molecule: RNA transcript, 3231 nt
Organism: Felis catus (domestic cat)
Lineage: Eukaryota; Metazoa; Chordata; Mammalia; Carnivora; Felidae
Gene: PARN
Gene name: poly(A)-specific ribonuclease
Exons: 25
Source: RefSeq, a predicted model, not a curated record